RNAcentral lists this ribosomal RNA (332 nucleotides) under uncultured bacterium. Its description in RNAcentral is "bacterial SSU rRNA". It matches the Rfam family "Bacterial small subunit ribosomal RNA", at positions 568 to 898 of the family's 1533-position model. The record is from RNAcentral.
UGUGUAGGCGGCUGCGCAAGUCGGAUGUGAAAGCCCCGGGCUCAACCCGGGAAGUGCACCCGAAACUGCGUAGCUCGAGUACCGGAGAGGUUGGUGGAAUUCUUGGUGUAGAGGUGAAAUUCGUAGAUAUCGAGAGGAACACCGGUGGCGAAGGCGGCCAACUGGACGAGUACUGACGCUGAGACACGAAAGCGUGGGGAGCAAACAGGAUUAGAUACCCUGGUAGUCCACGCCGUAAACGAUGGGUGCUAGGUGUCACGGGCUUUGACUCCUGUGGUGCCGUAGCCAACGCAUUAAGCACCCCGCCUGGGAAGUACGGCCGCAAGGCUAAA